GAUGAACGCUGGCGGCGUGCCUAAUACAUGCAAGUCGAGCGAACAGACGCUGCGCUUGCUCCUCUGACGUUAGCGGCGCACGUGUGAGUAACACGUGGAUAACCUACCUAUAAGACUGGGAUAACUUCGGGACACCGGCGCUAAUACCGUAUAAUAUAUUGAACCGCAUGGUUCAAUAGUGAAAGACGGUUUUGCUGUCACUUAUAGAUGGAUCCCCGCCGCAUUAGAUAGUUGGUAAGGUAACGGCUUACCAAGGCAACGAUGCGUAGCCGACCUGAGAGAGUGAUAGGCCACAUGGGAACGGAGACAGGGUCAAGACGACUAAGGGAGGCAGCAGAAGGGAAUCGGACGCAAUGGGCGAAGGCCUGACGGAGCAAGGCGGCGUGAGAGAUGAAGGUCUUCGGAUCGGAAAACUCUGUUAUGAGGGAAGAACAAAUGUGUAAGGAAAUAUGCAGGGAGUGACGGUACCUAAUCAGAAAGCCACGGCUAACUACGUG
This 497-nucleotide ribosomal RNA is filed under the name uncultured bacterium. RNAcentral describes it as "partial 16S ribosomal RNA". It matches the Rfam family "Bacterial small subunit ribosomal RNA", at positions 28 to 507 of the family's 1533-position model. The record is from RNAcentral.